GGAGGGUGCAAGCGUUAAUCGGAAUUACUGGGCGUAAAGCGCGCGUAGGCGGUCUGGUCAGUCGGAUGUGAAAGCCCUGGGCUUAACCUGGGAAUUGCAUUCGAUACUGCCAAACUAGAAUGUUGGAGAGGGAAGUGGAAUUUCCGGUGUAGCGGUGAAAUGCGUAGAUAUCGGAAGGAACACCAGUGGCGAAGGCGGCUUCCUGGCCAAACAUUGACGCUGAGGUGCGAAAGCGUGGGUAGCGAACAGGGAUUAGAUACCCUGGUAGUCCACGCCGUAAACGAUGAGAACUAGAUGUCGGGAGGGUUUAGCCUCACGGUGUCGCAGCUAACGCGUUAAGUUCUCGCCUGGGGAGUACGGUGGCAACACUA
Molecule: ribosomal RNA, 371 nt
Filed under: uncultured organism
Description: partial 16S ribosomal RNA
Rfam family: Bacterial small subunit ribosomal RNA
Source: RNAcentral